This 111-nucleotide transfer RNA is filed under the name Caudoviricetes sp. RNAcentral describes it as "tRNA-Phe". It matches the Rfam family "transfer-messenger RNA", at positions 262 to 374 of the family's 374-position model. From Rfam's summary of the family: Bacterial tmRNA, also known as 10Sa RNA or SsrA, is named for its dual tRNA and mRNA-like properties. Lineage: Duplodnaviria; Heunggongvirae; Uroviricota; Caudoviricetes. The record is from RNAcentral.
GCGAGCGUGUCGCUGCGCGCAAAGCGUCCGAGACUAAACCAGCGACUGAGCUUGGAGAUGCCAAUCAGGGGGCUUUCGUGGACCGGAGUUCGAUUCUCCGCGCCUCCACCA